GUCACUCGAUCGUGACGGGAGCUCGCCGUCUGAAAGUGGCGGCAGGAGAUGCAGGCGUCCCCGGACCAUGCGCGCCCGCCAGGUGCUUGACGGAUUGCGCGGGCACCGGCCGACGCACACCGCAGGUGCUUGCUCUCUGUACUCGAGCGUUAACUUGUGGCGACCGCACCAUGCACUGUCUCGCUCCUCUGUUAGUAUUCCCCUUUCUUAAUCAUGCGAAAUCAUUACGAAAUGACCCAUGGCUUAUGGUGCUUGGGUUCUGGACGGCAUGGUCGUUUGCAACGCUGCACUGCCACUGCGCGUCGGUCAGUGCCAGUGCAGUUACGACCGUUUGUGCCGGUUCUACAGUUUAUAUGAUAACUACUCUAUCCGCUGCAGCUAGCAUCUGAAAUUCUCAAUCAACGUCCCUGAAAUUAGCUUCCAUAUAGUUUUGCAGUUUGUGUCAGACUGUCAGUGCUGUGAUGGCACGGUAGAUAUGCAAUAGAAAUGGAUCGUCCAACUGUGAUUAAUUGACUGUGAACACCUCUAGUGCUGUUUUUAGGUCUGCAAUUUUCACCUUUGAUCUCACUGGGCAUCACACACUAGAAAAAUUAGGUAACAGUUUUGCGGCCAUAGGACGUGAAUAAAUGACAAACGCAAGAUCAUAAAGAAGAUAAACUACUCUGUUCCAUGAGCUACAAUUCCUUGAACUACAUAAUGGUGCCCAAACCAUACCAGUUGUCCAGUAUUCACUAUUCAGAUAACUAAACCACAAGUUGAACUGUUAUAAAAUCACAGUUUCACAACUAUGUUGCUAACUAGAAUUUCACUUUAUCCAGAAUCAUCAGUUGCCAUUGCACACUGGAAGAGAGUUCUCCAAAGGUUAUAGUUGUGUAAAUACUACCUAUCCACUAUACAUGAAUGCCUUUGGUGUUGAACUAUUUAAUUUGAGAAGGGAUGUUGAAACAAUCAAGUUUUUUCAAUGUGCAUAUUAACUCAAUACUAUCUUCAAAUUAAUACUAGUAUUCUAUUCACUACAGAAACAGCAUUGGUGGUUCUUAAAAAAAGUGACCAUGGAUUACACUGCUAUGCCACAAUAUUACUCCCUCCAUUCCAAAUUAUAAGUCGUUUGACUUUUUUUACCCCAAGUUUGACCACUCGUCUUAUUCAAAAAAUUUGUGCAAAUAUGAUCAAAUUUUAAGUCAUUCUUGAAUAACUUUUAUUAAUAAACCAAUACACAACAAAAAAAAGUAAUAUUUUGUACAAAACUUUGAAUAAGACGAGUGGUCAAACUUGAUAUUAAAAAAGUCAAACGACUUACAAUUUGGGAUGGAUUGAGUACAAUUUUAGGAAGUCUUAUUGCAAUGGUAGUGUUAUUAUUGCAAAUUCAAUUCAGUCCGUUAAUAUUUUCUCCGAACAAAUUUGGUUUAUCAUCACUAUUGCGAAUAUCAGAAGGCAGAGGAGUUUCAGAGAGAAGAGAAGAGCAUUGUGGUGCAACGUGCAACCACCAGCUAGGUAAUAUCAUGGAUCCCUUGACGGUGUACUGUCCACAUCACGCGUCAAGUCAAAUAGAGCAAAGCUUGGCGACCUGAGGUGUGAACAAUACUGCUUGCACAUGCUAACCAUCUCCCCCUCUUUUGUUAGGUCCCAGACAGAAACAGAUUAGUGCAUCUAAGCAUAUCUUAUCAACUCAACGAUUGUGUUGUGAGCACAGAAAGAAGGCCAAUUCAUCAAAAAGACAGACAUUACUAGCUUCUAUGUGCAUGAAUAUUAUGUACAUUCCAAACAUGAUAAGAACAUACAGCAAACUGACAAAAGGUGCAAGGGAUUCAGCUUGAGAAGAGGGCUAGACGGUCUACAAGUCUUAGGAUGGAUGAACUCUUCAAUACAGUGUCACUGAUGAUUCGUCUCCAACCUGCGAGGUGCUGUACUUCUUGGCUGAUUCCGGCUUUGACAUAUCACCAGACCGCCUACGGAGCAUCUGGCGCAUGCCAUCAGCCACGCGGACAGCAGGGUUCGACUUGAACAUCUUGCAGAAUGCCAUGUGAGCCCUCACAGCCUCCUCUACUCCUGGGUGAACCUUCUUCCUGCAUGCCUCAUCUCUGACGGCCUCACAGCACAGCCCACACAGCCAUUGGCCAUGGAAGCCUGCUCUCACGCUGGCAAUGUAGUCCAGGGUGCAGUCCUCCCUCAGGCCACAGCACUCGCACUUGACCGACUCUAUCUCCAUUGCUUGCUUGCUGCUGCUGCUGCUGCUUUGUAUGUGUCUUGAUUCCUUGGACUGAAGGCUAUUUGUAGGGAGGUUAUUAUGGUUGUGAGGGGCAGUGGUGGGGAGGGGUGGAGGAGGGUAUUUAUUGAUGGUGAGGUAUUGGUGCAUGUUCUGAGGUCAGAGAUUUGAGACAGAGUUAGUUGGGUGUGAGCCUCAUUUGCUGGCCUUUUCCUGGCAUUAAAAAAUUUUGGCAUCGGUUAGUGGCUAGAGGGGACGGGGCUGCUGGUGCUGUGGGAAUAUGGGGGGCCUCACGAAAUGCAAAGUUUGUCCCUUUGCUGAAUUCUGAGAAAGAGUACGCUUUCCCGUGCAAAUCGACCCACCAUGCCACCUUGUACUUUUCUUGGUUAACAGUUUUUUUCCGGCCCUUUUUCAAGUUUCAGUUUUCUUCACUCAUGGAUUCCUGUUCCUGUAAUAUUUGAACUUCAAACUUUUUGUUCCUGAUAAUAUAAAGGCCAAUCAUCUGUCAGGCUGAGGACACCUCACCCUGCUACCAGAUUAGAUUCUAUGAACUAAUUAGAUUCCUGUCAGAGAUUCAUAGUAGAGCGCAGUCAUCAUUCAUAAAGGAAAUUUAGGCUGGAUGUUGUUGUCAACCUACUGGUCAUCCUUUUUUUGUUUAAGACAAAGUUGAUUCAGAGUUGGUUCCUGAGAUAACCUGUUGUGGUCCUCCGCAUAAUUCUGAGCCUGGAUAUCCUAAAAGGACUUACAUGUUAGCAUUAUCUUUUGGAAGCCUUUCAUUGUGACAUGGUUUAUGAAUAGCUUUAGUCGGUUGGUGCUUCUUUUCUUGAAGGAUGGAAAGAGAUGGCUCCUACGAUUUGGACUGUCCCAUGGAAUCUUGUGCCGUGUUGAGUGUCUUCUACCUUUUUCUUAUCAGAUUGAAUUAGCUACUGCAUUAUGGAAGUAUGUAGAGUGAUAGGGAACAUUCACUAUAAUUGUGCUUUAACUGUAUAGCUGAAGUUUAUGUUCUAAGCAACUCAUAUUCAAAAUAAGUGGUUGGAGAGCUAAAGGAAAAAAUAAUAAAUGAAGGCUUCAGACUUCAGAGAAGAAUCCUCAUGAAAAGGUGAGGCUAUUUGGCCCCUUUAGUUCUUCAAUUUUCAACUUGAAAGUUCAAAAGAUGGCCUGUUCGUUUACUUAAGUAUCAUCAUUUUUUUGGUUUAUUUGUUGUUUGAUAAUCUCAUGUUACAUAUCAGGUGUUACAGCCAGAUUAGGGCUAUUCUAUUUCCUGUAUUUAUGGUUCACUGUGGCAGCAUGGGUUAAUGCUAAUGACUGAAACUGAAAUCCUCAGUGCCCCAUUUAUUUUGAUGCUGACUUGAUGUUCAUGGUUUUGAAGUUUGAUACAUUUGGUAGAAGUAAUGCACUGUAAAUCAUCAGAAUUCCAUUAUCUUGGGAGAUUAUUGAAUCAAAAUCUAUACUUCCGGGGCUGAUCUUCCUCUUUGUUGGCCCUAUGCUGAGCAUCCAGUUAUUUGGAGAAGAUUGAUUUCCUUUGCUAGUUCCAAUAAGAGACGAUAUAGCUUGCGUCUUGUUAGGGAUAUAAUUUUUUGUGUUCAAUAGUCAGUAUAUUUUUUGCAAGGGUGGUAUUAUACCAUAUUUCGUUCUGAAGGGGGCUUUGGGCCAAAGUGUCCGUGUACUCUGCAUAGUACAUAUAUAGACAUGGGGUCUACAAUACUGAAUACGACAAAGGCUAGGCCAUGACUGAAUACAAUGCAAAGAGGCUAUUAGGUUAAUCUAAAAAACAAUUAAGAGAAAUACAAUGUGGCUUAGCCUUAAGGAAACGCUAAGCUGAAACACACCCCACAAUUAUUAGAAUUUAAAAUACUGAACUCUUGUGAAAAAAAAUGUGUAAACACGUAUUUUUACUAAAGUAUAAGGUCAAUAGAUGACUGUCAGAACGUGCAAAAAUACAAUUGAUUGCAAUCAGAAACUGACAACACCCCCACCCCACUCCUGCCCCCCAAAAAAAGUCAAUUCAGGUUAUAGUCCUUGUACUGCCUAUUCAAUCCAAUCUAUACUCCUUUCCCGUUAAGGAUGCAUUAUUCUUCUUUAUACAGUGCACAAAAAAGUCAGGUCCUCGGAAAUCAUAUUAUGCUGCCAGUAUUACCUUUUGUUUCCAAUUACUACCUUUCGGUGAAGGUUACAGUGCUUGUUGACUUUUUAUCCAGUUACCUUUGUCUCUUUUUUUUCUGACUUUUCCAAGAGAAAUAGAGUGGUGCUCAAAAAAGAAAGAGAGAAAUAGAGCUUUUUAUUGCUAGCUGGAGGAGUCAUUAUCUAUUGCCAUACUAUCUUACCCUUUUCUUGCUGACUAAAUAGAACUGCCUAUUUGAUCUUUGCAGGUAAACUUUCUGAAUUCUUGAUACUGUGUAACCGGCAUUCUAAAUUCAUAUAUCACAAUAUAUGUUAACCAUGCUCUGGUUGCUGGAUAAGUUAAGAAGUCAUAAACCAUCUGUCUCAAUCUUCCAUUUAAAUAUCAUUUAUAUGCACAUGGUGCUUCUUCUUUUUGCAAUUUGAUUGACCACUAGUAUAAAAGGCUGCAUUUUAGGUUGGCCAUAGGCAAUCUCAUCCGCUCCAUGUAAUGAUUUCGUUCCCGGAGAUGAUGCUCAUCCACAUUGGCACAUCGUGUUGUAUACGGUACGAAUGUAGUUUUCAAUCAAUUUUAGUGUGGUGUCAUGAAUUUUGUAGUCCCUGUCAUGCCCUAUGACAUCCAUUCCCCUGCACAUGAUGCUACUCAAUUGCAUAUCAUCUUCUGUGAGUCGAUUGUAUUUUUUUUUAUUGGAUACCAUACAUGUAACUGUGGAGAAUAUUAAAUAUAUCAUCAGUUAGUAAGAU
RNAcentral lists this long non-coding RNA (5068 nucleotides) under Sorghum bicolor (sorghum). RNAcentral's name for it is "long non-coding RNA (SBIC_LNC000197)". The record is from RNAcentral. Lineage: Eukaryota; Viridiplantae; Streptophyta; Magnoliopsida; Poales; Poaceae.